AGGGAAGCUGUUGGGAGGUACCGAUUUUCCUCAGGCAAUAAAGAUGACGCUGUCCUGGACUGUAGUGUGGCAUUAAUACAUUCUGCAACAAAUAGUUCAGCUGAGGGAUAACAAGACACCAACAAGUUAGGCAACAGAAAAGGUGGCUUCCAUCAGCUUGUCGUUCGUGGAGCAUUGUCUUAUGGGACUGUGGAAAAAGAGAGGCAAACAGCUUGCUCGGAAGCACCCAGGGGAGCUCUGCACUCCCAUCAGACCCACAGCUGCCUAGCAGCCCCACAGAGUUCAUGAAACAGAUGCAGAACAUAGAAGAACGGGAGUCUUGUUCCCGUGCACUGAACAAGAGAAAUCCAGAAAACUGGGCCUGCUGCUCGGUCUGGAGAAGUGGAAGUCUGAUGUGUACGGCAUCCAAGAGCAGUGUAUUUGCUUAAUGCACAGCCUCAUUUCCACGACAUUCACGAGAAAACAAAUACAGAAGGUAAAGAGAGAAAAGGAGAUGGAAGGA
Molecule: long non-coding RNA, 502 nt
Filed under: Anser brachyrhynchus (Pink-footed goose)
Lineage: Eukaryota; Metazoa; Chordata; Aves; Anseriformes; Anatidae
Description: lncRNA (ENSABRG00000018052.1)
Source: RNAcentral